AACGUAGGUGGCGAGCGUUAUCCGGAUUUACUGGGCGUAAAGGGUGUGCAGGCUGCCCCUCAAGUGGUGUAUGAAAGGGCUCGGCUCAACCGGGCUAGGUUAUGCCAGACUGAGGGGCUAGAGAGCGAGAGCGGGACGUGGAAUUCCGGGUGUAGUGGUGAAAUGCGUAGAGAUCCGGAGGAACCCCAGAGGCGAAGGCGGCGUCCUGGCGCGCAUCUGACGCUCAGACACGACAGCAUGGGGAGCGAACGGG
This 253-nucleotide ribosomal RNA is filed under the name uncultured bacterium. Its description in RNAcentral is "partial 16S ribosomal RNA". It matches the Rfam family "Bacterial small subunit ribosomal RNA", at positions 524 to 776 of the family's 1533-position model. The record is from RNAcentral.